This 466-nucleotide ribosomal RNA is filed under the name uncultured bacterium. RNAcentral describes it as "partial 16S ribosomal RNA". It matches the Rfam family "Bacterial small subunit ribosomal RNA", at positions 28 to 507 of the family's 1533-position model. The record is from RNAcentral.
GAUGAACGCUGGCGGCGUGCUUAACACAUGCAAGUCGAACGGAAAGGCCCAAGCUUGCUUGGGUGCUCGAGUGGCGAACGGGUGAGUAACACGUGGGUGAUCUGCCCUGCACUUUGGGAUAAGCCUGGGAAACUGGGUCUAAUACCGGAUAGGACCAUCGUUUAGUGUCGGUGGUGGAAAGUUUUUCGGUGUGGGAUGAGCUCGCGGCCUAUCAGCUUGUUGGUGGGGUAAUGGCCUACCAAGGCGUCGACGGGUAGCCGGCCUGAGAGGGUGUACGGCCACAUUGGGACUGAGAUACGGCCCAGACCCCUACGGGAGGCAGCAGUGGGGAAGAUUGCACAAUGGGCGCAAGCCUGAUGCAGCGACGCCGCGUGGGGGAUGACGGCCUUCGGGUUGUAAACUCCUUUCGCCAAGGACGAAGCGUUUUGUGACGGUACUUGGAGAAGAAGCACCGGCUAACUACGUG